RNAcentral lists this ribosomal RNA (2191 nucleotides) under Escherichia coli. RNAcentral's name for it is "partial 23S ribosomal RNA". It matches the Rfam family "Bacterial large subunit ribosomal RNA", at positions 1 to 2215 of the family's 2925-position model. The record is from RNAcentral. Lineage: Bacteria; Pseudomonadati; Pseudomonadota; Gammaproteobacteria; Enterobacterales; Enterobacteriaceae.
GGUUAAGCGACUAAGCGUACACGGUGGAUGCCCUGGCAGUCAGAGGCGAUGAAGGACGUGCUAAUCUGCGAUAAGCGUCGGUAAGGUGAUAUGAACCGUUAUAACCGGCGAUUUCCGAAUGGGGAAACCCAGUGUGUUUCGACACACUAUCAUUAACUGAAUCCAUAGGUUAAUGAGGCGAACCGGGGGAACUGAAACAUCUAAGUACCCCGAGGAAAAGAAAUCAACCGAGAUUCCCCCAGUAGCGGCGAGCGAACGGGGAGCAGCCCAGAGCCUGAAUCAGUGUGUGUGUUAGUGGAAGCGUCUGGAAAGGCGCGCGAUACAGGGUGACAGCCCCGUACACAAAAAUGCACAUGCUGUGAGCUCGAUGAGUAGGGCGGGACACGUGGUAUCCUGUCUGAAUAUGGGGGGACCAUCCUCCAAGGCUAAAUACUCCUGACUGACCGAUAGUGAACCAGUACCGUGAGGGAAAGGCGAAAAGAACCCCGGCGAGGGGAGUGAAAAAGAACCUGAAACCGUGUACGUACAAGCAGUGGGAGCACGCUUAGGCGUGUGACUGCGUACCUUUUGUAUAAUGGGUCAGCGACUUAUAUUCUGUAGCAAGGUUAACCGAAUAGGGGAGCCGAAGGGAAACCGAGUCUUAACUGGGCGUUAAGUUGCAGGGUAUAGACCCGAAACCCGGUGAUCUAGCCAUGGGCAGGUUGAAGGUUGGGUAACACUAACUGGAGGACCGAACCGACUAAUGUUGAAAAAUUAGCGGAUGACUUGUGGCUGGGGGUGAAAGGCCAAUCAAACCGGGAGAUAGCUGGUUCUCCCCGAAAGCUAUUUAGGUAGCGCCUCGUGAAUUCAUCUCCGGGGGUAGAGCACUGUUUCGGCAAGGGGGUCAUCCCGACUUACCAACCCGAUGCAAACUGCGAAUACCGGAGAAUGUUAUCACGGGAGACACACGGCGGGUGCUAACGUCCGUCGUGAAGAGGGAAACAACCCAGACCGCCAGCUAAGGUCCCAAAGUCAUGGUUAAGUGGGAAACGAUGUGGGAAGGCCCAGACAGCCAGGAUGUUGGCUUAGAAGCAGCCAUCAUUUAAAGAAAGCGUAAUAGCUCACUGGUCGAGUCGGCCUGCGCGGAAGAUGUAACGGGGCUAAACCAUGCACCGAAGCUGCGGCAGCGACGCUUAUGCGUUGUUGGGUAGGGGAGCGUUCUGUAAGCCUGCGAAGGUGUGCUGUGAGGCAUGCUGGAGGUAUCAGAAGUGCGAAUGCUGACAUAAGUAACGAUAAAGCGGGUGAAAAGCCCGCUCGCCGGAAGACCAAGGGUUCCUGUCCAACGUUAAUCGGGGCAGGGUGAGUCGACCCCUAAGGCGAGGCCGAAAGGCGUAGUCGAUGGGAAACAGGUUAAUAUUCCUGUACUUGGUGUUACUGCGAAGGGGGGACGGAGAAGGCUAUGUUGGCCGGGCGACGGUUGUCCCGGUUUAAGCGUGUAGGCUGGUUUUCCAGGCAAAUCCGGAAAAUCAAGGCUGAGGCGUGAUGACGAGGUACUACGGUGCUGAAGCAACAAAUGCCCUGCUUCCAGGAAAAGCCUCUAAGCAUCAGGUAACAUCAAAUCGUACCCCAAACCGACACAGGUGGUCAGGUAGAGAAUACCAAGGCGCUUGAGAGAACUCGGGUGAAGGAACUAGGCAAAAUGGUGCCGUAACUUCGGGAGAAGGCACGCUGAUAUGUAGGUGAAGUCCCUUGCGGAUGGAGCUGAAAUCAGUCGAAGAUACCAGCUGGCUGCAACUGUUUAUUAAAAACACAGCACUGUGCAAACACGAAAGUGGACGUAUACGGUGUGACGCCUGCCCGGUGCCGGAAGGUUAAUUGAUGGGGUUAGCGGUAACGCGAAGCUCUUGAUCGAAGCCCCGGUAAACGGCGGCCGUAACUAUAACGGUCCUAAGGUAGCGAAAUUCCUUGUCGGGUAAGUUCCGACCUGCACGAAUGGCGUAAUGAUGGCCAGGCUGUCUCCACCCGAGACUCAGUGAAAUUGAACUCGCUGUGAAGAUGCAGUGUACCCGCGGCAAGACGGAAAGACCCCGUGAACCUUUACUAUAGCUUGACACUGAACAUUGAGCCUUGAUGUGUAGGAUAGGUGGGAGGCUUUGAAGUGUGGACGCCAGUCUGCAUGGAGCCGACCUUGAAAUACCACCCUUUAAUGUUU